RNAcentral lists this long non-coding RNA (592 nucleotides) under Homo sapiens (human). Its description in RNAcentral is "long independently transcribed non-coding RNA 3157 (LINC03157)". The record is from RNAcentral. Lineage: Eukaryota; Metazoa; Chordata; Mammalia; Primates; Hominidae.
AUUUAAAGGGCUGUGGAAUCAAAGGCCAGUGGCGGACAUGGGCCUCAUUCUCACUCGUCCAACUUCUCUUUCCAGCAAACCAUACCUUUUCUGCAAUUGUAGCUCAUCAUGUCAGAUGAAUGAAACUGAUUAAGGCAACUCUCUCCUGCCAACUUCACCAUAUUUGGAUGCAGCGUCUCAUCCUUCCAUCUCACCUGUCCAGAAAAGAAAGAAAGAAAGAAGAAAGAAAGAAAGAAAGAAAGAAAGAAAGAAAGAAAGAAAGAAAGAAAGAAAGAAAGAAAGAAAGAAAGAAAAAGAAAGAAAGAAAGAAAGAAAAAGAAACAGAAGAAGUUGCAGAGCAAAAUAAUGAGGAGACUGGGCCAGACUGCAAGGUGACGAUGUAAGAAGAGUUUAUCUACCUUUAUUCUUGAUUGCAGCAUAAAUGUAAGGUAAGCUGCUCCUUCUGUAGACAACCCACUUGUUGUGAGGCUUUGGCCCUCAUGCCGCUGUUCCUGCAAGCUUUUGCUCUAAGAAGAAAUCUUCGUGCUCAGAAAAAAAAUUUGUCAUAAAAAUGAUGCAUGCUUGGAAAGUGUGACUAUGACUUGGCAUUUUU